AGUGAACGCUGGCGGUAGGCCUAACACAUGCAAGUCGAACGGCAGCACAGUAAGAGCUUGCUCUUACGGGUGGCGAGUGGCGGACGGGUGAGGAAUACAUCGGAAUCUACUUUUUCGUGGGGGAUAACGUAGGGAAACUUACGCUAAUACCGCAUACGACCUACGGGUGAAAGCAGGGGAUCUUCGGACCUUGCGCGAUUGAAUGAGCCGAUGUCGGAUUAGCUAGUUGGCGGGGUAAAGGCCCACCAAGGCGACGAUCCGUAGCUGGUCUGAGAGGAUGGUCAGCCACCUGGGAGGUGGGCCACGGUCCAUACUCCUACGGGAGGCACCAGUGGCGAACAUUGGACAGAGGGCGCAAGCCUUGUCCAGUCAUCCGGCGCGUGUGGAGAAGGCCUCCCGGUUGUAAAGCCCUCCUGCUGGGAAAGAACCGCAGCCGCUUAAUACCAAGCUGUUCUGACGGUACCCAAAGAAUAAGCACCGGCUAACUUCGUG
RNAcentral lists this ribosomal RNA (492 nucleotides) under uncultured bacterium. RNAcentral's name for it is "partial 16S ribosomal RNA". It matches the Rfam family "Bacterial small subunit ribosomal RNA", at positions 29 to 507 of the family's 1533-position model. The record is from RNAcentral.